Molecule: transfer RNA, 74 nt
Filed under: Dehalococcoidia bacterium
Lineage: Bacteria; Bacillati; Chloroflexota; Dehalococcoidia
Description: tRNA-Met
Rfam family: tRNA
About the family: Transfer RNA (tRNA) molecules are approximately 80 nucleotides in length. Their secondary structure includes four short double-helical elements and three loops (D, anti-codon, and T loops).
Source: RNAcentral
CGCGGGGUGGAGCAGUGGUAGCUCGUCGGGCUCAUAACCCGAAGGCCGGGGGUUCGAAUCCCUCCCCGCUACCA